UACGUAGGGCGCAAGCGUUGUCCGGAAUUAUUGGGCGUAAAGAGCUCGUAGGCGGCUUGUCACGUCGGUUGUGAAAGCCCGGGGCUUAACCCCGGGUCUGCAGUCGAUACGGGCUAGCUAGAGUGUGGUAGGGGAGAUCGGAAUUCCUGGUGUAGCGGUGAAAUGCGCAGAUAUCAGGAGGAACACCGGUGGCGAAGGCGGGUCUCUGGGCCGAUACUGACGCUGAGGAGCGAAAGCGUGGGGAGCGAACAGG
This 253-nucleotide ribosomal RNA is filed under the name uncultured bacterium. RNAcentral describes it as "partial 16S ribosomal RNA". It matches the Rfam family "Bacterial small subunit ribosomal RNA", at positions 524 to 776 of the family's 1533-position model. The record is from RNAcentral.